UACGUAGGUGGCAAGCGUUAUCCGGAUUUACUGGGUGUAAAGGGCGUGUAGGCGGGAAAGCAAGUCAGAUGUGAAAACCAUGGGCUCAACCUGUGGCCUGCAUUUGAAACUGUUUUUCUUGAGUACUGGAGAGGCAGACGGAAUUCCUAGUGUAGCGGUGAAAUGCGUAGAUAUUAGGAGGAACACCAGUGGCGAAGGUGGUCUGCUGGACAGCAACUGACGCUGAGGCGCGAAAGCGUGGGGAGCAAACAGG
This 253-nucleotide ribosomal RNA is filed under the name uncultured bacterium. RNAcentral's name for it is "partial 16S ribosomal RNA". It matches the Rfam family "Bacterial small subunit ribosomal RNA", at positions 524 to 776 of the family's 1533-position model. The record is from RNAcentral.